Molecule: ribosomal RNA, 448 nt
Filed under: uncultured Defluviicoccus sp.
Lineage: Bacteria; Pseudomonadati; Pseudomonadota; Alphaproteobacteria; Rhodospirillales; Rhodospirillaceae
Description: bacterial SSU rRNA
Rfam family: Bacterial small subunit ribosomal RNA
Source: RNAcentral
AGCAUGUGGUUUAAUUCGACGCAACGCGCAGAACCUUACCAGCCCUUGACAUGGGGUCGCGGGUACCAGAGACGGUACCCUUCAGUUCGGCUGGACCCCACACAGGUGCUGCAUGGCUGUCGUCAGCUCGUGUCGUGAGAUGUUGGGUUAAGUCCCGCAACGAGCGCAACCCUCAUCUUCAGUUGCCAGCGGUUAGGCCGGGCACUCUGAAGAAACUGCCGGUGACAAGCCGGAGGAAGGUGGGGAUGACGUCAAGUCCUCAUGGCCCUUAUGGGCUGGGCUACACACGUGCUACAAUGACGGUGACAACGGGAAGCGACAGGGCGACCUUGAGCUAAUCCCCAAAAGCCGUCUCAGUUCGGAUUGUACUCUGCAACUCGGGUGCAUGAAGGCGGAAUCGCUAGUAAUCGCGGAUCAGCACGCCGCGGUGAAUACGUUCCCGGGCCUU